RNAcentral lists this ribosomal RNA (497 nucleotides) under uncultured bacterium. RNAcentral's name for it is "partial 16S ribosomal RNA". It matches the Rfam family "Bacterial small subunit ribosomal RNA", at positions 28 to 507 of the family's 1533-position model. The record is from RNAcentral.
GAUGAACGCUGGCGGCGUGCCUAAUACAUGCAAGUCGAGCGAACGGACGAGAAGCUUGCUUUUCUGAUGUUAGCGGCGGACGGGUGAGUAACACGUGGAUAACCUACCUAUAAGACUGGGAUAACUUCGGGAAACCGGAGCUAAUACCGGAUAAUAUUUUGAACCGCAUGGUUCAUAAGUGAAAGACGGUCUUGCUGUCACUUAUAGAUGGAUCCGCGCUGCAUUAGCUAGUUGGUAAGGUAACGGCUUACCAAGGCAACGUUGCAUAGCCGACCUGAGAGGGUGAUCGGCCACACUGGAACUGAGACACGGUCCAGACUCCUACGGGAGGCAGCAGUAGGGAAUCUUCCGCAAUGGGCGAAAGCCUGACGGAGCAACGCCGCGUGAGUGAUGAAGGUCUUCGGAUCGUAAAACUCUGUUAUUAGGGAAGAACAUAUGUGUAAGUAACUGUGCACAUCUUGACGGUACCUAAUCAGAAAGCCACGGCUAACUACGUG